ACCAGGUGCAGUGCCGCGUGCCUGUAGUCCCAGCUACCCAGGAGGCUGAGGCUGGAGGAUCUCUUGAGUCCAGGAGUUCUGGGCUGUAGUGGGCUAUGCCGAUCAGGUGUCCGUACUAAGUUCGGCAUCAAUAUGGUGACCUCCUGGGAGCGGGGGACCACCAGGUUGCCUAAGGAGGGGUGAACUGGCCCAGGUUGGAAAUGAAGCAGGUCAAAACUCCCGUGCUGAUCAGUAGUGGGAUUGCGCCUGUGAAUAGCCACUGCACUCCAGCCUGGGCAACAUAGUAAGACCCUGUCUCU
This is an unclassified non-coding RNA of Aotus nancymaae (Ma's night monkey), 299 nucleotides long. It matches the Rfam family "Metazoan signal recognition particle RNA". From Rfam's summary of the family: The signal recognition particle (SRP) is a universally conserved ribonucleoprotein. The record is from Ensembl. Lineage: Eukaryota; Metazoa; Chordata; Mammalia; Primates; Aotidae.